UACGUAGGGUGCAAGCGUUGUCCGGAAUUAUUGGGCGUAAAGAGCUCGUAGGCGGUUUGUCGCGUCUGCUGUGAAAACGCGAGGCUCAACCUCGCGCCUGCAGUGGGUACGGGCAGACUAGAGUGCGGUAGGGGAGAUUGGAAUUCCUGGGUGUAGCGGUGGAAUGCGCAGAUAUCAGGAGGAACACCAAUGGCGAAGGCAGAUCUCUGGGCCGUAACUGACGCUGAGGAGCGAAAGCAUGGGGAGCGAACAGG
This 254-nucleotide ribosomal RNA is filed under the name uncultured bacterium. RNAcentral describes it as "partial 16S ribosomal RNA". It matches the Rfam family "Bacterial small subunit ribosomal RNA", at positions 524 to 776 of the family's 1533-position model. The record is from RNAcentral.